This 439-nucleotide ribosomal RNA is filed under the name uncultured bacterium. Its description in RNAcentral is "partial 16S ribosomal RNA". It matches the Rfam family "Bacterial small subunit ribosomal RNA", at positions 338 to 795 of the family's 1533-position model. The record is from RNAcentral.
CCUACGGGGGGCAGCAGUGGGGGAUAUUGCACAAUGGGGGGAACCCUGAUGCAGCGACGCCGCGUGGGUGAAGAAGCGCCUCGGCGCGUAAAGCCCUGUCAGCAGGGAAGAAAAUGACGGUACCUGAAGAAAAAGCAUCGGCUAACUCCGUGCCAGCAGCCGCGGUAAUACGGAGGAUGCGAGCGUUAUCCGGAUUUAUUGGGUUUAAAGGGUGCGUAGGCGGAAUAUCAAGUCAGCGGUAAAAAUUCGGGGCUCAACCCCGUCGUGCCGUUGAAACUGAUGUUCUUGAGUGGGCGAGAAGUAUGCGGAAUGCGUGGUGUAGCGGUGAAAUGCAUAGAUAUCACGCAGAACUCCGAUUGCGAAGGCAGCAUACCGGCGCCCAACUGACGCUGAAGCACGAAAGCGUGGGUAUCGAACAGGAUUAGAUACCCGUGUAGUC